CAACCUGCCUAUCANAGGGGAAUAACAGUGAGAAAUCACUGCUAAUACCGCAUAUGCCAUAGGAAUCGCAUGAUUCUAGUGGGAAAGGAGCAAUCCGCUGAUAGAUGAGCUUGCGUCUGAUUAGCUAGUUGGUGGGGUAAAGGCCUACCAAGGCGACGAUCAGUAGCCGGACUGAGAGGUUGAACGGCCACAUUGGGACUGAGAUACGGCCCAGACUCCUACGGGAGGCAGCAG
This 234-nucleotide ribosomal RNA is filed under the name uncultured bacterium. Its description in RNAcentral is "partial 16S ribosomal RNA". It matches the Rfam family "Bacterial small subunit ribosomal RNA", at positions 122 to 354 of the family's 1533-position model. The record is from RNAcentral.